UGACCCCACAGUGUAGCGCCGCGUAGGAUUUUUAGCUCCGGGUCAGCCGUGCGUGGGGGCGGAGCCUCGCGUCUGGAGGUGGGGUCUGUGAUGUGGCAGAAACUAAUUGGUUCCUGCGGUCUGCUCUGCUGCGCUGCUGCUGUCCGUAGGCCCGUGAUGAGGGUGGGCCUGAGUUCCUGAUUUUCUGUGAGUUUUCAGGGGUGCUGCCCUCGCUAAUGGGACGAAGCCAGAACGGUCUCCUCGGUUGCGGAGCUUCGGGAUUAAGUCUGGAAUUAGCAGUCCCCCACUGCGCGGCUCAGUUGCGCAGGCUUAGUACCGGCCACCUCAUAUUUGAAGAUUGAAGAGACUGCUUCUCUUGUUCAAGGUGGGAAAAAGACACAGUUGAGGUGGAGGAAGAACGGGUUUCCAGGGUUAGUAAGUAGCUUCAAAAUAAAGGCUGCGGAUACAAUGAAGAGCGUCUUGGCUAUAAGUUGAGGAAUCUUUUGAGUUUGGCACCUCCUCGGGUAAUAUGACAAGUAUGUAGAUGCACUGAGAAUCGGCAAAACUUAAACCGAUGUGUGUAUGUGUGUACAUAGAUAUAUACACAUACAUGCUUGUAUAUAUCUCUGUAUGGUUAAGCUAUAUAGAACUAUAUAAACCAUAACAUCUUGUCUGUAUAUGAAGCCGAACAUUAAUCUGGCGCCAGACUGCUUAUUUAGCUUCACAUGACCCUGGUCUUCCACAGUUAUUAGUAUUUUUUCUACUAUUAUCCUAGUGGUGAUCCGCAGAAAGGCCACCCUCUCUAGCCUGAUCGUUGUAUAAUAGGCAGGAACUACAUGUGGGCAAAUGAAUAAAUAACAAUAGCCUUAGGGGAAAAAAAUGAUCUUUUGUCUUGUUUUGUUUAGUAUCAGAGGGCAUUCGACCACUGAGCCACAUCCCCAGCCCUAUUUUGUAUUUUAUUUAGAGACAGGAGUCUUGCUGAUUUGCUUGAGGUCCCCACUAAGUUGCUGAGGCUGGCUUUGAACUCACAUUCCUCCUGUCUCCGCCUCCCAAGCUGCUGGGAUUACAGGCAUGUGCCACUGCAACCGGCUACUGAUGUUUGUUGAGAUUUGCAGAACUAAGAAACACUAGGUGAUUUGGCCAUAAACCUACACCUGUGAAAAGGUGCCUACCCAGUAUGUGAUCACCCAUCUCCUAUAUGAUCUGCCUCUAAAUUGGCUUCCUGGCAAGAUGUCUCUUUAGGGAUAAGAAUCUCUAUCAUCUUCCAGCCAGCUAACUUAUUAGAAAAAAAGUUCUUUACAAUGGUAUUUUCUCUCAACUAAUUGGCUUCUGUCAUGAGGCAAGCAGACUAAACCUGUGUGAGGUAGCUCAUAUAACAAUGUAUAGUGCUAGGCAGAGUAGGUACUCAAUGAACAUUCUCUUUAGCCAUCCUUUGAAAGUUCCUGGAUACAAAAUUUAGUUACUGGACUUCAAAACAAUUCUUAGAAGAGUAGAAUUCUUGGGGCCUGAGGAUGGGGCUCAGAGAUUACAGCACAAGCAAAAUCUAAGAGGUGUCUGUAGGGUCAGAAGUGGGAAUGGCUUUAACUUAGCCUUUGUGAAAUAAAUGAAGGAGUUGGGGGGUGUAGUAAGAGUUCAGUGUCUGGCAGCAUAAACAGAAGAAAUGAGUCAGGAAGGAGUUGCUAGGUGCAGUGGUGCACACCUGUAAUCCUGGAUGGCUGAGGCAGGAGGAUCACAAGUUCAAAGCCAGCCUCAGCCACUUAGUGAGACCCUGCCUCAAAAUAAAAAAUAACGGUCAGGUUGGGGAAGAACCAAGUCAUAAUGCUCUCUCCCAUUCCAACCUAUCUUUAGAAUUGUUACCUCACUGAUGCCUCACUUGAUACUUCACCUGACAUCUUCAGUUACAGAUGACGUUCUUUCUAGUUAAUGAUUAGCCUAAGCUUUAUAAAUCUCUGAUCAGGGUCACUGCAUCAGCCUUUUCAUCAUGCUUCCUCCAAUCCAAUGGCCAUUAAUGAUGCAAAUCUGACUGUUCCUUCUGGAGCUUUGUAGGGCUGCAAUUUGUUUAUGUGUUUUGUUACUGGGGAUUGAAUCCAGGGCCACUUUGCCACUGUGCUACAUCUCCAGCCCUUUUAAUUUUUUGAGACAGGUCUCAUCAUAUUGUCAGGACUGGCCCUACACUAUCGCAUGCCUGCAAUCCCAGCGGCUCAAGAGACUGAGGCAGGAGGAUUGUGAAUUCAAAGCCAGCCUCAGCAAUUUAGCAAGGCCCUAAGCAACUUAGAAGACCCUAUCUCAAAAUAAAAAACAAAAAGGGCUGGGGAUGUGGCUCAGGGGUUGAGUGCCCCUAAGUUCAAUUCCUGUUUUUUUUUAAAAAAAGGCCUUAAACUUGUGAUCCUCUUGCCUCAGCCUCCUCAAGUCACUGGGAUUAUAGGCAUGUGCCACUGCACCCAGCCCAGUUCCUGAGAUUUUUUUAAUUUCUGUAUGUCCAGAUUACCUGCACUGUCCUUCCAAAGGCUAGCACCUGAGGCUCUUUGACAACUGUCUGAGGUCUUGCCUGAAAAAGCUGAAAACAAUUUUCAACCCAAGUUUAAAUUCUUUCCUACCCCCACUUCCCAACACAGACUUUAACCAUUAACUAUCAAGUGGAGGAAUUAAUGAGUGGAGCUUAACUCUCUUACUUUUACCUUAAGGCAUAAUUUACUGGCCCUGGACUUUAGCCCAAGAUCACAUCCUUGCUCGGUUUCUCCCCUUCUUUCCUGCCUCUCCUACUCCCUUUUGGGAGACACUUUCUUUACAAAUCACUUGGACAUAAAUCCUCCUCUCAGGGUCUGCUUUUAGGGAAUCCAAAGUAAAACAUCCCUUCCUAGCAUAAAACCCACCAAUGGAUCCCUACUGCCUCCAGGGUAAAGCCUAUGCUUCAAGGCCCUACACCUUUUGGUUGCUGCCUCUCUCUCCAGUUCUACCUUUUGCUCUGCAGCCAGCAGGAAUUUCAGCAUACCAAGGCAUUGUGGUUUCCCACCAUCUGCCACUUGCUGUCUCCCCUUAGUCUCCCAGCUCCAUCACCCUAUAGGGUAGGAGAUGAUAUAGGCCUACAGCCUCAGGAAGUUAGCUGUCAGGGCUCAAAUGUGAAGUCAAGAGAAAGAGGUCCAACUCUUCUCCCCAGUCCCACCAGGCAGCCUCUCCGGCCUUUCUUCCCUGACAAAGGAGGUAGGAUGCUCCCAACUGAGACUUCACUGGAGUUACUCUUCUCACAGGAAGUUCUGCCUCAAGUGUAACACUGAGCCCUCUUGUUAUCUGGAGUCCUUUCCUUUUUCCCAAGUCCCUAACCCUUGCUACUAGGGCCCCACCUUCCUCUGUGGUGGGGCACCAAGUCUCUGCUGAGGCCUGCCAGGACACAACCUUGUGUUCCUUUCUUGGCAGCCACAGAUGCAGCUGGCAGGUGGUAUUUUUAACCUUACUCAGGCACAGGCAUCAGGUGGCUCUGGGGAUUGCCCAGUCUGGUGACCUUCACCUCUAAAAUCUGUGACUUCCAUGAAGGGAAGAGUCAGAACUCUGCAUUUACCUAGGCCUUCAAAAUUGGCUGGGACCCAGAAACACUUGUUAAAUGAGAUGAAUGAAAAAUCUUUGGUUAAGCUGCCCUCACUCCUGCCAAAUCAAACCAGGAGACUUGGGGCCAAUUGUACCCCUGUCUACCAGGUUUCAGAACAGUUAGAAACUGGGACAUGAACCAGUUAAACCCAAGAACUCAGGGAAUCUGAAAGGGGACAGAAAUGAAAGUUUGCCCACCCUCCCCAUACACAGGGCCCAAGAAGGCAUUCAAAAUGUGAACUUUAAUAACAAAUAACAUGUCAAAGUAGGGGUUCCCCAGGAACAAGAAUGACAGAGCUGUUGCUAGAGGCCUCAGAGGUCCCUGUUUCCUCCCCUUCAAGGCUGGGGGCAAGGAAGUAGUGAGCUCUCUUGAGAAGGAGUGGCACCCAGUUCCAUGUAGGUCCAUCUGUCUUGUCUGGGGCCCUAAGACCCAAGAUGCAGCAGUAUGUGGAGCAGAGUGUCACCCUGCCUGACCCAAAGGUCCUGGCAAGGAGUGUGACCCAGCUUGGGCAGGCAAGCAGGCCAAAGGUUGUACAGUCAGAUUCGGAAGCUUUCCUCCCGGCCAUCGAUGUGGCGGAGCCGCAGGUAGACAUCUGUGCCAAUGCCCUGCAGGGACUGCAGCUGCAGGGAACCACCGAGGUACUCGGCGUAGGCCCGUGAUGUGGGCAACCCGAAGCCAAAGCUGGGGGUAGGCAGGGAAAUAGAAUAGGGAGCUUCAGAGGCCUGAGUUCCCUUGGGUUGUUCCCCAUCCCCAGUUGUGGAGGCGGGUGGGGGAGCCUCACCCAUGCAUGGGUCCUGACUGGCCACCACUGUGCAUGUCCAGGUGGCCGAAGAGUGGGCUGAUUCGGGGGUCCUGGGUGCUGGCCUCAGCUGUAGUGAAGUGGUAGUCCAUGACCCUAUCCAAGUCUUUGUGAGCAAUGCCUCCACCCCGGUCUGAAAUUCUGGCAGGGUUUCAACAACAUGGGCUCAGCUCAGGUUUGAUAGGGUCUUACUACCACCCAAGGAAAGAGUGCUAAAUUUGAUUUCCUGUUCCUUACACCCCAAUAUGGAAUGUGGUCCACCUUGACCCUUGGGCCUUGUUUGUUUAACCAACUGUUCUCCAUCCUCACCUUUGCCUGGGCCACUGCCUGCUUAUACCUUCUCAACGGAUUUGAUAUUUAUUCUUAGCCCAGCCUCAAAGACUGGUUUCCCCAUUCUAGGGCCCUCAGUUACUGAUAGAGGCAAGGUCCUGGGAACCAUAGCUGGCUGUAGAUCCAUUAAUAUCCAGUUCAUGGCAAUCUGAGAACCAAAUAAUAUCUUUUCUGACCAGGGUCCAAAUCCCAAAGAGGGGCAGGUACUGGCUCAAGGUUCUACAGCAAAACUGUAAACUGCCUGGAACCCCCAUCCACCCAGCCCAACCCCACUCAGGACAAACCUGAUGAUGAGAUCAAUAUCAUUGUUGGCAAUGGUGAUGACCACAUCUGGAACGUUGUAGGGAGUGUCUAGGUGGCUUUCCAUUGUGGCUCUAUGCAGGAAGGAAAGAUUAGUAGGAGGUGGCACCACAGUUCCUAUCUGGCCCCACCCAGUUGAUCCAGCCUGCCCACCUCAUGGCAUUCUUGAGCAGCUCGGGCAGGAUAUAGUCUAACGGCAUAGGAAUGAAGGGGAAACGGGCAGCCACAUGUCCAUUGAUGCGAACUCGGGGUGCAUUGCCAUACUUAUGCUCACACAGGCGUCUGUGGAUAGGAAAAGGGUUCAGAUAGGAGCCCAUAAAGUAGUGGUUCUCAACUGGAAACUAGUCUGCUCCCAAGGGACCUAUGGAAGUCUGGGGAGAGAAUUUUGCUCCUCACAACUCAGGGGUAUCAAGUCAGUAGAAGCAAGGGUUCCUUCUAAACAUCUUAACAUGAUUAGGACAGCCCCCCACUACAAAGAAUUAUCUAGCUUAAAAUGUCAACAGUGCCAAGGUUGAGAACCCUAACCUAGAUGAUGCCCCAGGCAAGGGCUCAGAACUAAGAGUUCCCUGCCCCAAGACACCCAUCCCUUCAGCCAUUCUAGCCUCACCUGGCAAAGUCCACCCACUUUUCAAUAAUCUUCUUUGGUGAGAGACGAGUACAGAUGAUGCCAACAAAGUCGGGCUGGCAGGAGAAAGAAGGUCAGGACUAGCAACACCUCCAACCCCACCUUGGCGGCCAAAUGCCUGCAACUCUGGAAUGCCAAAGCAGCCCCAAAGCCUCUCCCCCAUGACUUUGGCUUAGGUUCCCAGCCCAAGGGGGGACCUGGCUCAUUUUCCUCUCCUCACUUGACCUUCCCAGGCAGGUCUUGGGUUCCAAAGCCCCACCUUAUCCUCGUGUAGCGCCAGGUGAUGAGUGGCCAACAUGCGGAUCCCAAGCCUUGAAGUCAGUGUCUUGUCCAAGAAGUAGCGGACGAGCUUUUCAUCCUGUAAAAAGCAUGACUUCUGAAACCUCAUGCUCUUUCCCAGUGCCUUUAAUUUGCUAGGCCCUUACUUUGCUGCCACUGACCUCUAUGUGCUUUCGGCUCUCACGCAGGCCUUCAGCUAACAGGGUCACUACAUCUUUGUGGUCAUCUAGCAGCUGUCGCACAAGCUGGCAGUAUUGGGCCUCAUCUGCCUGGUCUUUGAUCUGCAGGUCACAGAUUCAUAAGCACAGGUGGUCCAACCCUGGUGUCUUAGUCCCUUACCGCCCUGCUCUGCCCAGCCUCACCGGAGGGAAGUCUGUCAGCUUCUGGAAAGCACGGAUAUACAGCUCAUGCUGCAAGGAAGAAGUAUGGGAAUUCACAGGGCUGCUACCGGCACUGGGUAGAGAACAGCCAUCCAUGCGUGCCCAUCUGGUUCACCACCCAACCCACUUCAAAUGGUUCCAACCCCCACUGUGACCUUUCCAACCUCUAUCAAUAUGUAGCUUUACCUUCAAAGGCUUGGGUUGAGUCCUGUAUGGCCCUGACACAGCAGGCAAGUCUGCCAUUCUGGGCCCCAGGCUCCCUACUGAACCCUUGGGUGGUAUGCACACUGAUCAAAGAUCCUGUCUACCUUACCACAUGCAGUAUGGUGGGGUUGCAGCCAAUGAUAAAAGGAAGGCUGCGGAAGCCCUUGAUGCGGUGAGCAAUCCUCACUGGUAGCUCCUGCUGCAGGUACCGGCCACUUUUCUAUAAGAGGGCAAACAAGGCCAAGACCUGAGUGGCUGCCCUGAGCUCCAGGAGCCAAAGGGGAAACAGGGAUCAGCAAUCUUACCAAAAGGUGACUGCCAUCCUGGGAGCGGCCAGAAUAGAGCAUCAUGGUCGGAGUGAGGCGGACUGAGGGCUGAAGAUAGAUGGACCUUGAGCACUGGACCUCCAACAUCCCUUCCCCACCACAUAGCUCCUCGUUCCCUGAACACCUACUCCAGCACUUGACCCCUGCUAACCAUCAGCACUGCGCACCUUCUCCGCUGCCACAUCGAUGACUGAUUGAUUGUAGAAGGAAGUGACCGUCUUGGAGCGCUCCCGUGCCAUCUCCACAUGGUGUGUAUCCGUGGCGGAUGUAGAAUGGGCCCGUAUGGAGAGUGACAGCCCCAAGAGAGGCCGAAGUGAAGGCCCAGCCCGAGGGCUGCUCCCAAGCACCGACGCCAGUAUCAUCGUCCUGCUCUUUUGUCAGACUAGUCUGUUACCAGGCCUGAGCACCCAACAGAUGGAGGCGACCCCAAAACGGGGCAAACAGUGUGGGUGGACAGAGGUCUUUCUCUGACUUCAAGGGUGAGGAUCCGUCGAGGAUGCUGACCAGCUCAGCCCCAGGAGAGUAUCUCCCAUCUACCAGAGCAGGGUAAAGUGGACUUGUAAGGAUCCGAAUUCAGAAGACCUGCACCACUUCUCCACAUGAGCACCGGUAUCCUCAAACCUAAGCAAUCUCUAGCCAGCCCUUCAGUCACCUCCCCAAACACAAGUUAAGCCUAGUCAACCUUGCUUUCCGGAGGUCCUAUUCAAUCUGAGGCUCUACCUGAUGGUCUGGGGAGUCAGGCGAAGAACUCAAACCCAUCCAGCCCAAAACCUCGCCCUGGCUUCCUCAGGUACAGGGGGCGGGGCUGACCCCUACCCAGCGCGGUCAGACCCGGGCCCCAGGAGCCAGGCCUGAGUACGUGCGACACAGCACUGUGAGCCAGAGAGCCAGCUGCGUAGAGGCUACGGACCGGGAGUCCCCAUCUGAGUUUACCCCUCAGCGAGGUUUCUUGGUUCGGCCCGGGUCCCCCCCAUAUGGUAGAUGGCAGCCCCUCGCCCAUGCGCACUCCAGCGCAAAUGGUGGCGGCUGUGGACGCGUGCUGCGCAGCCUUAGCCCGCAGGUCUAUGCAAAUAUUCCACUUACCGCGGGGCUAGAGCCAGGGCCCGGGUCCGAGCGGAACCGCCCUGUAGACCAACGCGGCUACCCAAGCUGCCUGCGCCCUCUGCCGCUGCGACGUCGCGUGGGCUGUGGGCGCCCGAUGCCUCCUGGGAGUUGUAGUUUGCUGCUGAGGACUCACAGCGGGGGCUCCAGUCCAUUCUGGCUACAUCCCGGUUUCCGGACCACUUGAUAAAUGGAGCUCCCUCCCGAAAUUACCUGUGGCCUGUGGACUCUAUUUUCUGCUUUAUAAAAUGGGCUCCCUCGGGGCUGGAAUUGUGGCUCAGUGGUAAAGCGCUCGCCUAGCGCGGGCGAGGCCCUGGGUUCGAGCCUCAGCACUACAUAAAAAAAUAAAAAUAAAAGUAUUGUGUCCAUCUGCAACAAAAUAUAUAUAUAUAUUAAAAAAAUAAAAUAAAAUAAAAUGGGCUCCCUGGGCCCGGCGCGGCGGCGCACGCCUGUAAUCCCAGCGGCUCAGGGGGCUGAGACAGGAGGAUCGCGAGUUCAAAGCCAGCCUCAGCAAUGGUGAGGCGCUAAGCAACUCAGUGAGAUCCUGUCUCUAAAUAAAAUACAAAAUAGGGCUGGGGAUGUGACUCAGUGGCCAAGUGCCCCCUGCGUUCAACCCCUGGUACAAAAAAAAAAAAAAAAGAUGUGAGGGGAUACCUGGGAGCAAAACGCUAGUAAGGAAAGACUCUUAGAUGUCAAGCAUACAGAUUAAACCCUACCGGUUUCCCUGAGGUCUUAUCCUUCACUUUUCAGCUCUCGACUCAUUCAUGGGAAAGUAAACUGCGUGAUUCGAACCCCAGCUCUGCCCCCUAAUACUUGAAACAAGUUAGUUAACUGCUGGGUGCUUUAAUUUUGGUAUUGGUAAAAUGAGGAUGUAUUAUUCAAGCGGGGUGACUGUGGAAGCUAAAGUAGGAGGAUCGCAAAUUCGAGGCCAGCCUCAGCAAUUUAGAGCAGCCCUAAGUAACUUAGUGAGACCCCUUCUCAAAAUUUAAAAAUAAAAAGGACUGGUGGUGUAGUUUCAUGGUAAAGUGCCCCUUGGUUCAAUCCCCAAUACAUAAAUAAAUAAAGGAUUAUUAAUCCUGG
This is a long non-coding RNA of Marmota monax (woodchuck), 8986 nucleotides long. RefSeq lists it as uncharacterized. The transcript has 2 exons. The record is from RefSeq and is a predicted model, not a curated record. Lineage: Eukaryota; Metazoa; Chordata; Mammalia; Rodentia; Sciuridae.